Cicer arietinum (chickpea) is the source of this 2915-nucleotide long non-coding RNA. RefSeq lists it as uncharacterized. The record is from RefSeq and is a predicted model, not a curated record. Lineage: Eukaryota; Viridiplantae; Streptophyta; Magnoliopsida; Fabales; Fabaceae.
AAUCAAAGAUUUCCCAAUUAUUUCAUUACUGCGCUUGUUCUCAACAAAAUCCUUUUUUCUUUCUCUCAUACUAUGUUCCUCUCUUCUCAGUAAAUAACGUUAGCGCAAACUCUCACUGCAAACAGUGUUAGCGCAAAUCCUCUUUUCUCUCUCGCAAACUUUGUUUCACUCUACUCUCUCGCGCAACUCUUCCUUCUCGUGUAACUGUUUCUUCUCUCUCUCUCUCUCUCUUAACCCUCUCUUCGCGCAAAAUAGUAACCCUCUCUUCUCUCUAUCGCUUGACCUCAUUUCUGAAUGAAAAGGGGAAAACAAGUGUUGGUGAAGGAAGCUUGUGAAUCAACAUUGAUUAGGGUUUUUCUCGUGACUUGUGAGACUUCUCCCUUUUUCUCUGCAUCGGUUUCUGCAUCACUUAACCUCUGCAUCAAUUAUGGUUUUUGUAUCUUGCGAGACCUGCAAAACUUCUAACUGUGAUUUUUGACUGUGUUUUACAGAGACUUUGAUAGAAGCUUCCAGAAAAGAUUGGAAUUAACUAUUGACCUCUAAGGUGCUUUUCUUGGAACGGGAUUUGAAAGGAAAAUGAACAAAUGGAAUGGUUUUUGACUUGAUUUUCAAUCUAAGUCUAGCAAUGACUUAAUGCGGGAAUAUAGAGUCAAGUUGGAAAAAGCUAAAUCUAUAAAAGAAAGCAAUCAAAAGGUAGACCAAUCGAAGCAAUCAUUGGAAGCUAAGAAUUCAAUUCUAACACAACAUAAAAAGCAAGGCUAAAAGGUAGUUGCAGUCCAACCAAUUCUUAAACCAUCUAAGAAAAUUGUUGAGAAGAACAAAGGGGUUGGUCAAAAUAAUAAUAUAAAGAGACAACUUUGAUCUCCAAAGGCUCAUUGUCUUCAAGGUUUAAUAGAAUCACAAGUUUCUAAGAAAACUAAUGAGCAAAACAAAAUGCUCUGUUAGAAUAACAAUCUUCAAAAGCAACUAAAGUCAGCAGUGACUACUAAAGUUUUAAUGGAGUCACAAGUGUCUAAGAAAAUUGAUGAGCAUAACAAAAUGUUGUGUUAGAAUAAUAAUCUAUAGAAGCAUCUGAAGUCAACAAUGGCUACUCAAGGUUCAAUAGAAUCAAAAGUCUUUAAGAAAAUUGGUAACAAAAAUAAAAAAUUAUGUUAGAAUAAUAAUCUUAAGAAGAGCCUGAACUCUACGAUGGAUCCUAAAGUUCAAGUUCCAACGGAAUCAAAAGUCUCUAAGAAAAUUGAAGAGAAAAAUAAAGGACUCCAUCAAAACAAUAAUCUUAAGAGGCAAGUCAGCUCUACUAUGGGAAAUCAAGUUCAUGGAUCAACGAUACAUCAACUAGUCUAUACGAAGAAAAAAAACUAUUUCAAAGUGUCCAGCUACGUCACUUACCAAAUAUCUCAAUAAGAAUAAGGAACAACAUGGACUAGAUGAUUCAGGAGAUGAAGAUACAGAAGAAAAUGAAAUGGAGGAGGGUAUCAACUAUGAAAGCGGGGAAAGUGAAGGAACCAAUGUAAAUAAAGCUGAAGGAUUAUUAAAAAAACGAGGAAAGACUAUAUGUCGAAAAAUUCAUUCACGAGAAUUCAAAGAUACGCACGAUAUCAUCUUGAAUGAAGAAGGACAACCGAUUGGGCCGGAUGAAAAGACGGUUUCUGAACUUAGUAGUUUUUUGGGGACAAUCGCAGCAAGUUCAAAUUUAUGUUCUUUCACUUUCAAUAAUUGGAAGGCUUUGAUUAGGACUUGGAAGGAUCUAAAUAUAGAUCCUAUGUGGGAUUAUCUAAAUCAAAAAUACAUCAUUACUGAGAAAGGAAGGAAAAUUGUAUUUGCUAUUUUAAAUGAUGCUUGGAGAAGAUACAAAUGCUUUCUUAAAAAUGAGCAUUUUAGUAAGUACAAAAUCACGCGCAGCGGUUAAAAAAUCGUCCUCAUAAGAUACUAGAAGAAGACUUUAAGAAGUUAUUGAAAUAUUGAAAAGAAGACAACAACCAAUGUCAAUGUAAUGAAGAUAAAAAGCCUCCCAUUCAAGCUCAAAUGUUCAUUGCUACUCGACAGAGUAAGAAAAGAGAGAAGUUGGAUCAAGAAACCAAUCUUGCAAUUAUAAAGCUUCAAAACUUGAUUGAAAAAAUAGACAGUCAUCUUUAGAAGUCUUUCAGAGUAUCUGUGGCAAAGAAAAAGCUGAGAGAUUUCUUUGCCACGAAAGAACUUCAACAACGAAUCUCUUGGAAAGAAAUAAAGAAAUUGAAAAACUUAAAAGAGACAUGGUGAGGAGGUAAAAUAGUUUAAUGAUAAGUUAGAAGAGAUAGAGAAAAAAUAACAUAAGGAAAUGGAAGCAAUGGAAGGAAAAUUUUAGCUUAUUCUUAAAUACAAUGUUGAACCCAAACACUGCAGGAUUGAACCCAAAGAGUACUCUGCGUUCUUCUACAUCAACACAUGCUCUUAAUAAUAAUGAAGUACGACUGAACUAUAUUACUCUUAAAAAUAGUAUUACUAGAACUAUAUUAGUGUUAGAAAUUGUAGUGUUAGAACUACAAUGAUAUUAUACAUUCAACUUUAUUUGCUAUUAGAAAUAUGUACCGUUAGAAAUAGUACUAUUAGAAUUAUAUUACUUUAUAAAUCGGUACUGUUAUAUUUAUAUAUUUUUCAUUCUUCUUAUAUAUGUUGAUGUUGAUUGCUAAAUAGUUGUCUGUUAGAAAUAAUUGUUACUUUAUCAAUGAAUAAAGAUAAUAAUACUGAUUCUGCUUGUAGUGUGUUGAAAUUGCUCUCUUUGUUUUGAAGUCUACUUUGUAUUUAAAUUGAUUCAUCUGAAAAUGAUUAUGUAUUGCUAUCACAUAACAAAAUUUGGUUUAUCUUUUAUUUAUUUGUUUUGAAACCUCUAAACAAUUAAUGCCUAAGCCACAUGAGUUUAUCUUUUAUAUAGAAUA